UACGUAGGGGGCAAGCGUUGUCCGGAAUCAUUGGGCGUAAAGAGCGUGUAGGCGGCCCGAUAAGUCGGUUGUGAAAGUCAAGGGCUCAACCCUUGAAUGCCGACCGAUACUGUCGGGCUAGAGUCCGGAAGAGGUGAGUGGAAUUCCUGGUGUAGCGGUGAAAUGCGCAGAUAUCAGGAGGAACACCAAUUGCGAAGGCAGCUCGCUGGGACGUAACUGACGCUGAGACGCGAAAGCGUGGGGAGCAAACAGG
This 253-nucleotide ribosomal RNA is filed under the name uncultured bacterium. RNAcentral's name for it is "partial 16S ribosomal RNA". It matches the Rfam family "Bacterial small subunit ribosomal RNA", at positions 524 to 776 of the family's 1533-position model. The record is from RNAcentral.